RNAcentral lists this long non-coding RNA (3486 nucleotides) under Nasonia vitripennis (jewel wasp). Its description in RNAcentral is "uncharacterized LOC100118504". Lineage: Eukaryota; Metazoa; Arthropoda; Insecta; Hymenoptera; Pteromalidae. The record is from RNAcentral.
CAGUAAAUGUAUACAUGCUUAGAAAAUAUGGACCAAAGUAUGAAGUAUCUCCUUGUCAUAUUUCCUCAGAAAAAAAGGAAAAACACGUAAAUCUACUCAUUAUUCAAGAUUUUUACAUAGAUGAACAUGAUGAAAAUAAUCGUGCUGAUGAUGGAAUCUUGCCUAAAUAUCAUUACGUCUGGAUCAAAAGCAUGUCUCGUCUUCUGAGUUCUCAACUGUCUAAAGCCAACAUAAAAUCUUACCAUUGUGAAAGGUGUUUACAAAUAUUCUAUAGUGAAGAAAGAUUAGAAAUUCAUGAAAAUAACUGUAAAAAUAUGAAUAACUCUCGAAUUAAUUUACCUGACUCUAAGAAUAAUAUUCUAAAAUUUGAUGAUUAUAGUAAGAGCGAAAAAGUACCUUUUGUUAUUUAUGCAGAUUUUGAAUGUUUAUUGAAGCCUACUGAGAAUGAGAAUGCUUACCAACUACAUGAACCAUACAGCAUAGGGUACUACAUAAAAUGCAGCUUUGACGAUAGCUUAUCUGGCUAUAGAUCAUACAGAAGAAAAAAUGAAGAAGAAGAGACAGCUGAGCAUGGUUUGUUCGAGAAUUGAUCUCAAUUGGUGAGAAAAUUGACGUACUCUACAAGAAUCCAAAACCAAUGAGACUCUCCGAUUUGGAGGAAAUAUAUCUUUUCGAAGAUCAACAACUUGUCAUAUAUGCCGAAAACCAAUCCAUGGCGAAGAACUUGCUGUACGAGACCGUUGUCAUCUCACAGGGCGUUUCAGAGGUGCAGCUCACAACUCAUGUAACAUGAAUUAUAAGGAUUCAAGAUUUAUUCCUGUGGUUUUUCAUAACCUCAAUUACGAUACUCAUUUUAUUUUAAAAGAGAUUGCCACUUCAACGUUGAUGAAAAGACGAGUCACUCUAAUACCACAUAAUAAGGAAACAUAUAUUUCAUUCACGAAGUAUACAGAUGACUGUGACAUCAGUUUUAGAUUCAUAGAUUCUUAGCGAUUUUUACCGUCAUCAUUGGAAAAGCUUGCAUCAUAUCUGAAAAAUGUGCCGAUAGCAGUAAAGGAAUUUCGAUCAGAUAGACUUACAAAUGAAAAGAUAGAUCUCCUUCGACGAAAAGGUGUAUUUCCAUAUGAUUUUGUAAAUGGAUUAGAUAAUAAGCUAACAGAUUCUCAUAUUGCUGAAGAAGACUAUAAGCAUGCUGUCCAAGUUUGGGAUAAGUUCAAUAUUAGUACGUUGGGAGAAUAUUCAGAUCUUUAUCUGAAAACCUAUGUUUUACUUUUGGCCGACGUUUUCGAGAGUUUUCGAAAAACAUCUCUUAAAGCCUAUGAUUUAUGUCCAGCUCACUUUUAUAUGACUCCUGGACAAACUUUUUCAGCAGCUUUAAAAAUCACAAAGGUAGAAUUGGAGCUUUUUACAGAUAUUGACAUGCUAAUGUUUAUCGAAUUGGGCAUUCGAGGUGGAAUAAGUCAGUGUUGUAAUCGGUAUGUCAAGGCAAACAAUCCAUAUGUGGGUUCUUCAUACGAGAAGGAUAAGAAAACAAAGACUCUUUUAUAUUUUGAUAUCAACAAUCUUUAUGGAUGGGCAAUGGUACAGCCUUUACCAGUUGGAAAAUUUGAAUGGAUUGAUUAUGAGACAAAUCCAAGUUUUUUCAAUACACUGCCAGACUCUGAUAUAGGCUAUUUUGCUGAAGUUGACUUGGAGUAUCCAGAAGUAAUACAUGAUGAUCAUAGGGAUUUACCUUUUUGCGCAGAACAUCUUGCACCACCUGGUUCCAAGCAGAAGACUUCUCACGACUUUGAAUGACAAGAAACGGUAUGUCAUUUAUUAUCGAGCACUUAAGCAGGUCUUAGAUAAUGGACUUCGAUUAAAAAAGGUGCAUGGGAUUUUGAGUUUUGAGCAGAGGGCGUGGCUCAAACCAUAUGUUGAAUUUAACACAUAAAAAAGAAAGCAGGCAAAGAAUGAGUUUGAAAAACUCUUCUACAAAUUGUUAAAUAAUGCAGUCUAUGGAAAGUGUAUUGAACGUGAGCAGAAACGUGUAGAUGUGCGAUUAGUAAAUAAAUGUACAGGCAGAUACGGAGCAGAAGCACUCAUAGCUCUGCCAAAUUUUCACAGUUGUGCAAUCUUCGAUGAAAAUUUGGUUGCCAUACAGCUGAAGAGGACAAGUAUUACAAUCAAAAAACCAAUAUACGUUGGUCUCUCAAUUCUAUAUUUGUCAAAAACAUUAGUAUAUGAUUUACAUUAUUCAUAUAUGAAAAAGCGAGUUGGAGAAAAAUGCAAACUCCUGUAUACGAACACUGAUAGUUUAAUAUAUGAAGUUGAGGAUGUAGAUAUGUAUCAAGUAAUGAAAGAAGUUAUACAUAAAUUUGAUACUUCGGAUUAUGACGAAAAUAAUCGGUUUGGAAUUCCACGUGUUAAUAAAAAAGUUCCUGGAUUGAUGAAAGACAAAUGCUGUGGCAAGAUUAUGACAGAAUUCAUUGGUUUAAGAAGCAAAAUGUACAGUAUUUUGAUUAAUGGAGCUGCUACAGUGAAAAAAGCCAAAGGUAUAAAAUCUAGUGUUGUAAAGAAAUCAAUCACGUUCGAAGAUUAUCGAAAAUGCCUUCAGGAUCUUGUUAUUAUAAAACGUGAGCGUAAUAUUUGUUUAAAAUUACACAUUGUGCAUACUGAAAAACAGGAAAAAAUUGCUCUAAGUCCACAUGAUGAUAAAAGAUUCUUAUUGCCUCAUAGUACAGACACUUUGCCUUGGGGACAUUACAGAAAUAUGGAAGAACAGAUGGCGCAAGCUGCAAUGCAAGUAGAGGGGGAUGCGGAGGAGGGGAUCGCGGUGGAGGAGAGGGGCAGAAAUUGUGGUGGGAAACGGGCUAUAUGAACGGGCGAAGCACGAUGAAGAGCACAUUCGAGAAAUCGAAGCGAACAACCAACCUUGUGCAAAGAGACCAAGACUCACCUAACUCUAAAAUAAAAUGGAUCUAUCUGCACUCAACAAGAUUGCUGAGCGCGAGUUCUUGCCUAAGAAGAAAGUCACGGACUUGGAAAAAGAUCAUGGUGACUGCACUCAAGGAAGUAAAGACGAAAUUCGGCACAAAGAUCGUGGCUGAGAUCGAAGGCAGCUUUCAAAUAUUUCUACCCGGGAAGAUCUCAUCAGCAAUCAUGAAAGAUCAAGAACUUUUCAAUAAUCUCUCUAACACAGCUAAUAAACUUAGUUUAUUCAUAUCAUAUCAGGGUGGAACUUCUUUUAAGUUCAGCACAUGCUAAAAUAAUGAAAUAUAAAGACUGAUUAUUGUUAAAUACUAUUUAUUUGUUUAAACUUGUAUGUAAUCUACAUGAAUAAAUACAUUAUUAAAUAAUAACAUUUGCUUUCUUCUGUAUUUGAACCUUAAGUAAUUCAUACAAUCUCAUUUUUAUUUAUCCAACUAUUGUGAUCGCUACUGAAUCCUAACCAUUAAACAUAUACACGUUUACCACUUUUCUUUAAAACUUUUUCUACGAAAAAAA